UUGAGACGUCCUCCUCAGCGCGCAGGCUUCACGGUACCAACCGUGCGGUAUCAUCGCUACAUGAUGAGUGCACUGCCCCAACCAUUGAAGCAUCACAAGGUGCUUGCCUGCCGCCGCCGCCGCUGAUACGUACACGAUUGCUGCCACACAACCAACACAUCACACCCAACAAUCACAACAACAAAACAACUGAGACCCGCCGCCGUGCAACGCACACUGUACACGCCCCAGGGCCGAGAACACAACGCAACACAAGCACCUGACAUGCCUCAUCCAGGCAUGCGUCACUCAAUCGCCCACCGAGCCGACCUCGCACACGCCGUUCGUGAGCCCCUGCGGCUGACAUGCCCGGCCCUGCCCCCUUGGCACCGCAGCCCUGCCGCCUUGGCACCGCCGCCCAUUGCCCCACCCCCAUGCUGCGUGCCAUGUAAGAAUAAAGCCAGGUCCCCAUCAAGCCGCAGCAUAUAUCCCCGCCAAGCCACCAGACUCCUCUUGCCGCACGCUACCAACCACCACCAGCACAGGACCGGCACCUGCCUGUCCCCCUGUUUAGUUUGGGCUGAUAUUUACAACCCCCCACCCUCCCCUCCCCACCUUCCCCAUUGCCAACCUCGCCCACCGCGCCGACAUGCACGCCGGCACCUCGCUCGUGCCUCUCGAGGCCUCCCAUCUUCCGUAGCUAGAGAUCCCUGUCCACGAGUAUCCACUUGGGCUCCAGCCCACUCCUGAUGCACACGCCGGCAUUACCCAGGUCUGCAUGGUUUGCAUGCCUGCCUGUCUACCGUGCACGCACACCUGCCUAGCUACGCAGACCUACUACCGUCCUUUUUGACCCGCCUCCGCCGCCACCGCCGCCGUCUCCUCCCUCUGGCCGCCGUGCCGGCCGCGCCAGCAGCUGCUGUUGUGGGUUGCCGCCAGAGCCGCCGCCGCCCUUGUUGCUGUUGGUGGUGGUGGUUGCGGGCUGGUGUGGCGCGGCCGUAGUGACAGCCGCAGCGCCGCCCACGGCACCCGCUGUCACUGUUUCCACCGCCACCGCCGGCUGCUGCAGCCGGCGCAGCAGGUAGGCCUCCUGCUCGGAAGGAGUCAGGAAGUCCCAUUCCCAGUACGGCACUAGUAGGACGCCGCCCUCCUUAAACGCCCGCCGCAGCUGCCGAAUGCGAAUGGCCGUACCCCCUUCCACAGCAGCGCUGGGGUCUUGCUGCUGCGUUUGUGUCAAGAGGUAACGUUUCGGUCCGAGGAACUCCACCGCCGCCUGCUGCCCGUCACUCAGCCGCACCACCGCAUCCACUGGCGCCAACACUCCUGGCGCGACAACGCCCGUCUGAAGGGACUGAACGGCUAGGCCCCCUGCUGCCUUGAGGCCCUGCUGCUCAAGCCGCCGCAGCGCUGCAACGACCUGCUUUUGAGUAUCUGAUGUGGGCUUGGCGUCUUCCCUCUCAGUAGUCACCGCCGCUGCCAUCGCCGCCUGCAGUCCGCUGCCGCUGCCCAGGGCCGCCGCCACCUCGCCGCCUAGCUCCUGCUGCGCCUGCCACAGCUGUUUGAGAUGCUCAGUUGUAAGACCCUCCCAACGGCUUACUGCUUCACGGGCCAGCUGAAUGGAUAGCUGCUUCAUGUCGGGAGAAUACGUGCCUCCGAACACAGCCAUGGCCCACAGGCUGUUGCAUACGUGCUGGUGCAGGACUGUGUCAGAGUCAUGCUGCAGCAGCUCGCCCAGCCGACCGCACACCGCCGCCUCCAAGCCAGCGUGCCGCAGCUGCAGCACCGCCAGCGCGUACAGCGUAUUGGCACAGUUCUGACCACCGGCACUACUGGCGCGCAUGGCUGCUACUGCUGCGCCCGAGUCAAGCAGCUCCGCCGGCGGCUGGUGGCGCAUCAACGCAAGCGCGUACAGCAGAUUGGACCAGGCCUGAGAUGUUGCGCGGGCCAUGGCGCCCGACUGCGUUGCUGCGUCCACCGCUGCUGAAACCCACUGCCGCUGCUCGGCCGGCGCCUCCGGGCCCGCCCCAAAUCCCAUCUUGGCUAGGGCCCACGCUGAGUUGCUGAGGUCCUGAGCGAUGUACCCGUCAAACCCCCGCCGCACGUCCUCUGCGGCCACUGCCACCACCAGCUCUGCCUGCUCGCUGCAUAGCUGCAGCCCCUCCAGCGCCAGCAGGAUGUUGGAUAGCUGUUGCGGGAUAAAUGCUGCAGCGAGCUCCGGUUUCCGGAGCCGCUGCAGUGCCUCCCCGCACAGCGCCUCAACUGCUGACCGGUACUCUGGUCCUGUGCACCCCAGAGCUUUGAGAGCCCAUAGGCUGUUUGAAACAUCUUGCGGCUUGAAGCCGUGGCCCGCCACCGUUCUCAAGCGAGAAGCCACAGCUGCCGCCAAGGUCUGCAAGUGUGGCGAUGAGGUGGGGUCCCAGCCUGAGCCCCGCUGCUGCUGGUCUUGCUUGAGCUUGCCGAGCGCGUACAUGACAAUUGCGAGGUUCUGAGGUUCCGCCUUCCCAAGAACCUCAGGAUCCACUAGCCGCUCCAGCAGAGCUGCUGCAAGCUGAGCCUCCGUGCCGCCGCCGACCAAUCCAGCUUUGCCCAGCGCCCACAGCGGAAUGCUGCAGUUCUUUGCGUUGCGGAUGCGCGGCACGAGCGGCAGGUAGGCCGGCGCAAGCAUGCCGAUAAUGCUGCUGCGUGCUACAGCCGUUUGGCUUGCUCCAGCGCGCGACUCCAGCUGCGUUCAAAGCAGUUAUGAGGGACAUACAUGGGGUCAAGUGCUAUAUGCAUGUGUUUGUGCGUGUGCGUGAACAGGUGCGCAUGCAAGUCCUGUGUGGCCAUCUGCGUCGUGAGAACCGGAAGUCCGGGCCGAGAACGACAACAAUGGACUCGCCCUCCAUUCUGCACUUCAUUUCUGUGCCCAUUCCCACCUGCACGUAUUAGUCCUCCCUCUCACCUUGCCGCACAGGUUGAACGCCGCACACAUGGUAAUGAAGUCUUUUCGGCCCUCCCACACUGAUAGCCGCUGGCUGAUGAUUGCUUGCAGCUCCUCCAGAGUCCGACACACGGUCAUGUCAUCCGCGGGGUCACGCCCGCUGCCCCUGCUUCUGCCGCUGGCGCGGCUGCCAUCGCCUGCCCUGCCUCCGCCGCUUCCCCUACCCNNNNNNNNNNNNNNNNNNNNNNNNNNNNNNNNNNNNNNNNNNNNNNNNNNNNNNNNNNNNNNNNNNNNNNNNNNNNNNNNNNNNNNNNNNNNNNNNNNNNGAGAAUAACGCAAGGAACGAAAGGUCAGGUGCGUGUAGGUCGCUGGGCCAAAGCCGCCUGAGUAGCUGUGGCUUGGUAUGGAUGAUAAAGCAACUGAAUCAAUUUGCCACCGGUGUUGAGGCGAGGGCGACCUGACCGCGAAAUACACGGCCCGAGGGCACGCCCCGUAUCAACACCCCUCGCGACCUCCAAACACGUGCACUGAACCGCGAAGCCCUCCCCCAAGCCUAUCGCGGCUGCUAUUCCCAUGUCCUCCUCCCCAACCAUUCUGCAUACAGGCUCUGGCGUGAGUCCCUGCCCGCGUCAUUUGACACCCGUCGACCACGACUGAGGUGCAACGCAUGUCGCUUACAAAUCCAACAUCCCGCCCGACACGAGAGGGGCAGAAACGGCGGGGCAGACGGCCAGCCUCUUGAACAUGAGCAUAGCAGUGCAAUAUCGCACAUUGGGUCCCCGCCUGCUUCACCUGGCCACCUUUGCUGAUUUGUCUGACAUCCCUGUCUACACACUUUUAUCCGCCCACGCUUGAGACGUCCUCCUCAGCGCGCAGGCUUCACGGUACCAACCGUGCGGUAUCAUCGCUACAUGAUGAGUGCACUGCCCCAACCAUUGAAGCAUCACAAGGUGCUUGCCUGCCGCCGCCGCCGCUGAUACGUACACGAUUGCUGCCACACAACCAACACAUCACACCCAACAAUCACAACAACAAAACAACUGAGACCCGCCGCCGUGCAACGCACACUGUACACGCCCC
Molecule: long non-coding RNA, 3979 nt
Filed under: Chlamydomonas reinhardtii
Lineage: Eukaryota; Viridiplantae; Chlorophyta; Chlorophyceae; Chlamydomonadales; Chlamydomonadaceae
Description: long non-coding RNA (CREI_LNC001184)
Source: RNAcentral